GACGAACGCUGGCGGCGUGCUUAACACAUGCAAGUCGAGCGGUAAGGCCCUUUCGGGGGUACACGAGCGGCGAACGGGUGAGUAACACGUGGGUGACCUGCCCUCAGCUCUGGGAUAAGCCUGGGAAACCGGGUCUAAUACUGGAUAUGACUCCAUGACGCAUGUUGUGGGGUGGAAAGCCUUGUGCGGCUGAGGAUGGGCCCGCGGCCUAUCAGCUUGUUGGUGGGGGAUGGCCUACCAAGGCGACGACGGGUAGCCGGCCUGAGAGGGCGACCGGCCACACUGGGACUGAGACACGGCCCAGACUCCUACGGGAGGCAGCAGUGGGGAAUCUUGCGCAAUGGGCGAAAGCCUGACGCAGCGACGCCGCGUGAGGGAUGAC
This 382-nucleotide ribosomal RNA is filed under the name uncultured bacterium. Its description in RNAcentral is "bacterial SSU rRNA". It matches the Rfam family "Bacterial small subunit ribosomal RNA", at positions 28 to 412 of the family's 1533-position model. The record is from RNAcentral.